This 427-nucleotide ribosomal RNA is filed under the name uncultured bacterium. RNAcentral describes it as "partial 16S ribosomal RNA". It matches the Rfam family "Bacterial small subunit ribosomal RNA", at positions 355 to 774 of the family's 1533-position model. The record is from RNAcentral.
UGGGGAAUAUUGCACAAUGGGCGCAAGCCUGAUGCAGCCAUGCCGCGUGUAUGAAGAAGGCCUUCGGGUUGUAAAGUACUUUCAGCGGGGAGGAAGGGAGUAAAGUUAAUACCUUUGCUCAUUGACGUUACCCGCAGAAGAAGCACCGGCUAACUCCGUGCCAGCAGCCGCGGUAAUACGGAGGGUGCAAGCGUUAAUAGGAAUUACUGGGCGUAAAGCGCACGCAGGCGGUUUGUUAAGUCAGAUGUGAAAUCCCCGGGCUCAACCUGGGAACUGCAUCUGAUACUGGCAAGCUUGAGUCUCGUAGAGGGGGGUAGAAUUCCAGGUGUAGCGGUGAAAUGCGUAGAGAUCUGGAGGAAUACCGGUGGCGAAGGCGGCCCCCUGGACGAAGACUGACGCUCAGGUGCGAAAGCGUGGGGAGCAAACA